Molecule: long non-coding RNA, 2274 nt
Organism: Protopterus annectens (West African lungfish)
Lineage: Eukaryota; Metazoa; Chordata; Ceratodontiformes; Protopteridae
Exons: 3
Source: RefSeq, a predicted model, not a curated record
UAUAAGCAUCUGUUAAAGUUUAUAUGUCCAAGUGUGUCUGACCUGAAUGUAUAUAAAAAGAAUUGUAAUGUUACUGGUUUUUUACAGAUUCAGGCGUGGAUGCUGUUGCUGUCAUUGCUGCUGUACUGGUAAUGACUGGAAUUUUCAUUUAAAGAAGAGAUGAAGAAAUGGGAACUCGAAGCAGUGAUGGACAUUCCCCUCAAUUCAGCAAAUGAAGUCCUUUAUUGAAACAAGAAACAGCAGGAUGUGGGUGAUACUGUGUAGGAUAGUCACUCACCAGCCCUAAAUGAAUUUGUGCACAAGACAUAGAACAAGCAAUUGUACAAUUAUAAAGCCUGCAUCAGCCUAAAAACUCUGUUGGACUAUAAAUAAAGGAUGAGCAGAUUUUCAACUGGUCAUCUGACACUAUAGGUAAUGUGUAGUUUGCCAAACUUGUAAACACCUUUUCACGUUGCUAGGUGAAGUUGUGACCUCGAGCUUCACCUGUAAAAAAGAAAAGCUCUUUUGCUGCAUUGAUGCUUUCAGCUUCUGCAUUCUUUUAACUGAGCAGCUGUGAAGUGACCAUGUACAGUUUAAGGUGCUUCAUCAGACCUGACUAAGUUACACAAAUGAGAUGAGUCUACAACUGAACUCCUACAAGCACUGUAACACUGAAAGCACCUCAUCGCAUGGAUGUGUGGAGGUCCGCUCCUGGAAGGAAACACUGCCUUUGUCCCAUAAUGCUUUGUGUGACACUGAAAGCAUUUCUGCCUGGUGUAGCUUUUUGGGAGGACAGAUCCUGGCAGGGGAACACUACCUUUCUUCCAUAAUGUUUUGUUGAUACUUUAAGGAACAUGUUUUCUUUAAGUGAUUUCAUUUUGUCAGUACUUAAGUGAAUAGAUAGAUUUUGUUGAAGAUGUGCCUUAAUAAUGGUCUCAAGUGUUGGGCAUCUUGGAGUAGAGGGGAUAAAAAAGGUUCUUAACUUUACAUUUUCUGAAGUCUGUGAAACCACAAUGGUAGCAUACUUAGAUGUAGAGGUGCAGGGGGACACAGGCAAAAUGUUUUUGAAUUUGCUUGCAGUGUUUAUAUGCCAUUGCACCAGUUAUGUGUAUAGUUUAUGAUAUUUUAUUUUGAUUCUCGGGUCAGACUUUAUUAUAGAGCUGUUGUACUCUGGUUUUCAGCCAUGCUGUCUUAACAUGCUUAAGUCUGUAAGAGUUCACAUACCCAGGCUGUCAUUAAAAUGGUGUGUGUGCUCUGUCAUUUCAGAAUGUGACUAAAGUCUGUGCUUUUAUCCAGUGUAAUGCUCUGUGCCACACUUAUACUCUGUGAGGCACUACAGACCACCGUGGUUAUUUAUUUUUUACCACUAUUGUUUUUUGGGGGGGUAUUAAUCUAUGUAUGUCUUAUGUUAAUCCAUCAUACUGUGCAGUGUUCUGUUAUACCUUUCUGUAACUUAUUCUGGAUUGUAUAUGCAGCAUUACCAGUCAGAAGUCAUUGUUUACAGUGUGUGUAUAGGUAUAUGUCAUCACAACUUCUAUAUGCCGUGUUCGGCACUGCAUGUUUAUGCAGAGUAUUUUGUUGUACGUCAGAACAUUUAGUGCAUCAGCAUUAUUUAUUUAUUUAUAUAUAUAUACACACACACUGUUGCUUUUCAGUGUGACUCAUUUGAACUGCUUGUGCAUUAUGCAUUGACUGUUUUUCAGUCCAUCGCUAAUGAAUGGUAAUAUUUUAUUAUGAAUCGUAAAGCAACGUGCAGUAGCUGAGCUGAAAUCCCAGUAGUCUUUGCAGACUGUAUUGACAGAUUUAUUGCAGGGCUAGAUCAGUUAUUGAGUUGGUAUUUUCUGUGAUUCCUCUCAUUAAUAAGAUUGCAGAUAGAACACCUCUGUGUGAUUUAGAUGCUUCCUUUACAUAGGGGGAUAACCAUGUAUGCAGCUGUAUAACUGUUCCACUUUGGAGAAGAAGGAAGUUACCGGGUAAGAUUUAGUAUUAUAAGGGACCAUGCAGUGAGCAUAAAAUCAUGCUACCAUAUAAAGAUGUAAAAUUGUUUUAAAAUAUAUGCAGUCAUUGGCUGUUCCAAACUAUGCAUUUUAUCCUUGUCAUUGUGAACUACAUCUUGCCUAAAAAACAUUUGCAAAUGAUCAAUUUCAUUAUGUGAAUGACAAAUGAAAUGCAACUUACUGACACAGGGGAAGAUUGAAUGUAUCUAUUGUAUUGUAAUAAAGUUUUAAUUUGCACUGUUUCCUUCCAGUAUUUGUAUACGGUUGCAUAACUUUUAUAAUCAAAAUAUGUAUUCCG